This 266-nucleotide long non-coding RNA is filed under the name Zostera marina. RNAcentral's name for it is "long non-coding RNA (ZMAR_LNC000818)". Lineage: Eukaryota; Viridiplantae; Streptophyta; Magnoliopsida; Alismatales; Zosteraceae. The record is from RNAcentral.
CCCACUGCUACUGCUACUGCAACUCCCACGCUCUAGCCGAUCCGCUCUAUUGCCCCCUCGAUCGAGUCGCACAGGGAAUGCUGCGUCCGUCCCGCUGGCAAAGGCAGAUCUGUUACACCUAAUCUCUGAUCAGGAAAGGGGAGUGAGAACCGAAACUCUACCAACGAAGCGGAAGGAGAUCAUCGAAUCGAUUGACGCACUGGAGGAUUAUGGGAAAGGAAGUGUGACGACGGGAGCGGAGUUGUCUGGGACGUGGAGAAUGCUUU